UCAGUAAAUCUGCACUUUAGUUUCAGUUUUUAGUUAAAUUUAGAGUCAAUAGCCCGGUUUAAAUUGUAAAAUUUCAGUAAACUUUUGGAAUUCGCUUCAGAAAGUAAAUUUUGGGAAGCACAUUUUGUUUUGGUUUGACAGUUUGACAUUUCUCUGCUGCUUUGAGUGUUUGCGUUGAAUGUCAGUUGGAUUGGCGUUAUGAUUUUAUGUUUUGGUAACGCUAUGUUGCACAGUGGGAGUGCAGAUAAGUUUAGUGGUCAAAAUGUUGGAAUGGUGUAAAGAAAAGUUGGAAAGUUUGAUAAGUUUAGUUGGAUAUCAGGUCUGUCUGAGUAGUGUGGGUUGGAUUGGAAUGUUUUGUAUUUUCUAAAUCUUUUGCAUUAGUGUAAGUUGGAGUAGUUGUCCAGACAUUUCUGGAAGUUUUCGGAAUUAGUUUAAGUUGAAAAUAUUUUCCAAACAUUUUUGGAGUAAUUUGGUAACAUUGGUUUAGUUAUAAGAAAUAUUGGUUUUCCAAAUAUUUUUGGAGUAAAAUUGGCAACUUUGGUUGAAAUUUAGUGUAAGGUUAGUUAGUUGGCAAAUGAUUUAGGAAAAUAAUAAACAUAAGUUGAGAUGGUUCAGAAUGUGAGAAGGGGAAGUAGAAGAUGUUGGAUGGAAUGAGUUCAAGUAAGAGGAUGGCAACAUAGUUUGUCUAUUUGGGGAAAAUAAGUUUGUUGGACUAUUAAUCAAUUGGAAUUUUUAGUUAAGAAAUAUGUUUUGAGUUGGAUUUUUGAGUUUGAACUUUAGUUUGAACUUAAAAAUUUUGUAAGUUUUCAACUUACAAAAUUUUUAAUAUUAGUGUGGGCGAAUGUAACCACAUCAUUGUGAGUCCCUGUAUGUAUGUUUGCUAAGAUAUGUUGGGUCAGCUAGGACACGCACCAAAUUAGGGAAACUUUGCUUUUUGAUCGUCGCCACCUAUGGGAGGAUAGCAGAAACCCUAUUUUGCACCGUUUUGCUCGAAAUAAAUGAUUUUUAAACAAAUUGUGUUCGGUUUGAAAUUAAAGCCAAUUGGGAAGCAUCUCCUGUGUAAAUUUUUUGAAGCUCAAUUUGUCCUUGAAAAUUAACAAGAAAGAGAGCAAAAUGAAAAGUCUUUUGUAUCAAAAUUUGGGAGAAAACUAAGAUUGCCGGUUCGUACAAGCGAUGAAGACUGACUCUCGUUCACUUUGGCAGAACUCGUGACACAGUCCGGAUCGUUUUGGAAGUAUUUUUACGACCGUGAUAAUUAGCGUCCUCUGAUCGUCGUCAAUUGCGAUCAGGUGAAAUCGUGGCAGUGAUAAUUUUUGAAAAAUUAACAGCACUAAGUGCAUCUGUGCAAGUCGAGGUGUGAAGAAUUUUCGAGGCAGAUCUGUGAUCGAGCCUAGUUGGCAGGAGAAAUUUGCAGGUGUGAGGCCGCCGCAAUCAGAACGAGUGAGAAAGGAACCCAUCAACGUGGGUGGCUUAUCUGGAGCUGGAAAGCUCAAACGUGGUCGUCUGGGAGCGCAAUCCUGGAUCGGAAGCAGUUUUUUUUUGGAACCGGAAGUGAAGUGUUUGUUAACCUUGAACUUUGAGAAUCUUUUGGUGUGUCGGAAUUUGGGGACAGCCCGUCGCUUUUCGCUGUUGGCACAGCUCUAUUGCCACCCCCAGCGGCAACCGGAAAAACGUCACACCGGUAACGCCUUAGUCGGUCUAGGACGCCAUCUCGUAGCACUUUAGCGAGAGCACGUUGGGAUCGAACGCUAGAGGUCAGUGUGGGAUCGGAUAACGCUACACGUCCGUAACCCCUCUGCCACGUGUUUGCUUUCGGGGUGGGUUAGCUUCGGCUCAAUACUCCCACGACUUCCGGAAACGCACGCCUGAGUUGGUAGCAGGUCCUUGUUGGAUCAAUGACGCCCCUCAGCAUACACUGACCCACCAACACAUGUGCAUUUGACCGAUUUAAGCCCCGACAACUAGCACCAUCUAUCGGCAGGACGCCAAAGCCGCAACAACAACACGC
Molecule: long non-coding RNA, 2008 nt
Organism: Culex pipiens pallens (northern house mosquito)
Lineage: Eukaryota; Metazoa; Arthropoda; Insecta; Diptera; Culicidae
Exons: 3
Source: RefSeq, a predicted model, not a curated record